AGCAGUCGCCACGGGAAUACGAAGGGUGCAAGCGUUAAUCGGAAUUACUGGGCGUAGAGCGUGCGCAGGCGGUUAUAUAAGUCAGAUGUGAAAUCCCCGGGCUCAACCUGGGAACUGCAUUUGAGACUGUAUGGCUAGAGCGUGUCAGAGGGGGGUAGAAUUCCACGUGUAGCAGUGAAAUGCGUAGAUAUGUGGAGGAAUACCGAUGGCGAAGGCAGCCCCCUGGGAUAACACUGACGCUCAUGCACGAAAGCGUGGGGAGCAAACAGGAUUAGAUACCCCAGUAGUCCCUGUCUCUUAUAC
Molecule: ribosomal RNA, 303 nt
Filed under: uncultured bacterium
Lineage: Bacteria
Description: partial 16S ribosomal RNA
Rfam family: Bacterial small subunit ribosomal RNA
Source: RNAcentral